GACGAACCGUGCAAACGUUGUUCGGAUUCACUGGGCUUAAAGGGCGCGUAGGCGGACGACCAAGUCGGGGGUGAAAUCUUUCAGCUCAACUGGAAAACAGCUUCCGAUACUGGUCGCCUGGAGGGAGGUAGGGGUGCGUGGAACUCAGGGUGGAGCGGUGAAGUGCGUAGAUAUCCCGAGGAACGCCGGUGGCGAAAGCGACGCACUGGACCUUUCCUGACGCUGAGGCGCGAAAGCUAGGGGAGCAAACGGG
This 253-nucleotide ribosomal RNA is filed under the name uncultured prokaryote. RNAcentral describes it as "partial 16S ribosomal RNA". It matches the Rfam family "Bacterial small subunit ribosomal RNA", at positions 524 to 776 of the family's 1533-position model. The record is from RNAcentral.